GAUGAACGCUGGCGGCGUGCUUAACACAUGCAAGUCGAACGAACGGAGAAGAGCUUGCCCUUCGAAGUUAGUGGCGGACGGGUGAGUAACGCGUGGGUAACCUGCCUCAUGCAGGGGGAUAACGUUUGGAAACGAACGCUAAUACCGCAUAAACUAUGGAUUGCCGCAUGGCAAUUAUAGCAAAGAUUUUAUCGGCAUGAGAUGGACCCGCGUUGGAUUAGCUAGUUGGUGAGAUAACAGCCCACCAAGGCGACGAUCCAUAGCCGGCCUGAGAGGGUGAACGGCCACAUUGGGACUGAGACACGGCCCAA
Molecule: ribosomal RNA, 311 nt
Filed under: uncultured bacterium
Lineage: Bacteria
Description: bacterial SSU rRNA
Rfam family: Bacterial small subunit ribosomal RNA
Source: RNAcentral